GAGAGUCAUCUGUGUUGUCAAAUAUAUCAAGAGUCCAUUCCUUGUUAUUGCUGAGUACUAUUCUGCCAUGUAGAUGGACCACAUAUUGUUCAUCCACUCAUCUAUUGAUGGGCAUUUGGAUUGUUUCCAGUUUGGGAAACUUACAAAGAACGUUGAUAUGCACAUUCAUGCACACGUAUUUGUGUAGACAUAUUUUUUUUUUCCUUUGGGGUAAAUACUUACGAUAAAAAUAGAUCAUGUAGUAAGUUUAUGUUUAACUUUAUAGACUUCUUUACCAUAGGGAAAAGGGGCUAUAUUGCUGGUUCAGCUGAAAUAGCACCUCUUAGCAACCUUUGUAUGGAAAUGGCUUGACUCAGAAUUGAGGUACUCCAUGUCUUUUGUUCUUAGCUUCAGGUUCUGUUUUGUUACAAUGCCCAUAAAUGUGAAAAACAAAACCAAAAAUCUUACAGGGUCCCUCAGAAUCUGGGAAGCAAGUAUCAAAUAUAUGAGAAAAUGAUUCAAGAAAAAACUCUUUUGAAAGGAUUCUGGGCAUACUGAGGCUUUUGCACAAACCUGCUGGUGCUCUAGAGACCUGUUUUUCAGUGGAAAUCAUGUAGAUGAGGGAGAAAUUACACCUCACACUCACAAAGGAUGUGUGGAGCCUCCAGAAUAAGUGAUUUAUAGCUGGAUAGUUUUCCAAAAGCAUAAUAACAACCAGCAAUUUUAUUUUUUUUAUUUUAUUUUUGUCUUUUUAGGGUUGCACCUGCAGUAUAUGGAGGUUCCCAGGCAAGGGGUCAAAUCAGAGCUGUAGCUGCUGGCCUACACCACAGCCACAGCAACACGGGAUCCAAGCCACGUCUGCCACCUACACCACAGCUCAGGGCAGUGCCAGAUCCUUAACCUACUGAGCGAGGCCAGGGAUCAAACCCGCCUCAUCAUGGAUACUAGUUGGGUUCAUUAACCUCUGAGCCACGACGGGAACUCCUAGCCAGCAAUUUUAAAAUCAUGUAUUUGUACUAGGCUGACUAACUUACAUACUUUCAUAUACCACAUACUCCAUGUGAAAUAUUAGUAUGAAUAUUUUUAACCUGCUAAUUCACAUUGGAGAAUAUCUCACAUACAUUUACUCAUUUGAUUCUCAUAGAAUCGCCAUCAUGGAGUCCAGGAAAAAAAAUUUCCCUGUGUUACAGUUGUAAAAAGUAGACCUCAACAAAGUUUAGGACAGGCUGGUAUAGUAGACAGAGUUCCUACACUGAGGGUGAAGAGAGCAGGGUUGUGGCAAUGCAUGUCUUUGUCAUUAAUUACUGUCAUUUAAGCCUUCUAGGCAUUAAUUUCCCUGAUGAGGUAAAAAGUUUGGGUGGCAUCAGUCUUUUCAAAUUAUGUUCUUAGAAAUAUGGUGUUUUCAAGGUUAUAAAUGAAUGAAUGGGUGAAUAAAGUCAAAUAUGGACCAUUUAAUUCCCUUCAGGAGAGUCACAAUACAUGUACCAUAUAAAAGCCUCUGAGAAAUCAUAAAGAGCCCUAUUUAACUUGGGUCCCCUAACAUUUCCCAAAGUGAUUUGCCCUAAAAUUUUUAUUGCCUAUUAAUCUUCUAGUAAUUAAUUCCUCAAGUAAUUCUUCUAAGAAAACACAAUAAUUUUAAGUAAAUAAUUUUAGCUUUGGAAGCCCUGACAUUCUCUCUGCUUUGAAAGAUGUUACUGUCCCACAUUCACAGAGCAAAGCAUGGAAGAAUAGAGCUGAGAAGCUGGGUUUCCUAACUCCUUGUCCACUGCUGUUUCCAUGGCAUUAACUAGACCAACCAGAUCUUUCCUUAUGAUGAUGGCACAUCGAAAGCUGCUGAGGAGCAAGUUUUUAUGACAGCAAAGUUUCUUGGCCUGAUUCUGACCGGGAAUGAAUUUACCCACAUGAAUGGUUUCUUCCAGUUACGUUUUCCCUUAGAGGCAGCACCUACAGGACCAAGUUUCUAUAGAAAAUGCCUGAGUUGCCUAUUUAAGGUUGUUUGAGGAAUCUGCUUAUACUGCCUGGUGAGGUGUGUUUAAACUGAAAACUUUAUUUGAAAAUAGCAAGGCUUAUUUCAUGCAGACAAAAUACAACAUGGGAAUAUUGAACCACCAGGCAAUUUCUUUUGUAGGCUUUGUUUCAGGCCACGACUAAUCUGGUCUCCAAAUCAGCAGGUGGAAGCAGUUUCUAUGAAGUCUGCCUCAGACUCCCUCAUUUAGAUAUUUUCAUGGCACUAGAAAACAGUACCUAGAGAAUCCCAAAGAACAAAUGAGAGGAAACGAUCCCCUGAUUUCUCACCCCCUGUUCUGUCACUAAGACAGCAGGGUCCUUGUCUCACACAGAGGUAGUCUCACAACAACUCUAUUUUAGAGGAAAAGCAGAAGUCAGUAAUUUUCUCCCUAGUGCUUCUGGUUUUCCUUUAAUUUCUCCAGGACAAUAAAAAUAAUGACAUUCUGAACAAUAUGAAGAUUGAGCUUUUCUCUAAAUAUCUAUAUUAUAGGACUAAACAAUGAAACUCUUUCAGCCUCCAGAUUUCAAGAAGUGUGUUGCAAAUCCAUUAAAUAUAUUUAAGUGUGUAUAUUAUGGUAGAAAAACAAUUGGUCUUUAUGGUAUAUUAUUUUAUCCUAAUUCUGAAGGAGAAAGAAGAUGCAGGCAUAUGAAAUGCGCAAAAUAUGCAACUGAGAUUGGUUUCAAAACAAGUUUAAAGGGGUUGAAAUCCAGCCACUAAGGUAUUCAAACUAACAUACCAACUGUGGGCAAAUUUAAAUUCUUUUUUUCCAUCCUCAAACAAGGCUACUGAGAUCCACGUGUUGACAGAUGUUUGAGCUAUGUAAGAUUCAGAACUGAAUUUUUAAGAACUCCACUGAGAGUCUCAUGCACUUACUAUCAAUCUCUCUUUUCUAAAGAUGUAGGGUGUAUACCCAUUUAUUUUCCACAUGAACUAUCUAAGAUUUCUUAAUAAUAAAUGGCUUGAAUAAUAGGCAUCAUUUGGAAUUCCUCAUGAAAGGAAGCUGAAUUCUGCCACUGGAUGAUUCUGAUUUUGCUCACAAUAAUGGAAAACAGGUAAAGUGUGUGAGAGUAGAUUGAGAGAGGCAGGCUAUUCUAUUAUCUCUUUUUAAUAUGCUAGGCUAUUUUCAACUAUUAAACUUGCAUGCAUUUUAUUUAAUGUGAAAUAAAUAAUAACACCUCUCCUUCCCUCAUUCACUUUUCUCCAUCUUGAAAAGCUCUUGUUUCAGGUUGCCAUGGUGAUGGUGCCACUCUGAUAUUUGUUUAAGUGAAACACUUUCAUCUUACUGACUUGAAGACAGGUACUAGAAGGGCCAGAAGAAAAACUGACAGCAUAGCCUGGUAGCUGGAAAAAAAAAAAAGGACCCCUGGUCUGUGGCCAACAGACAAUUGCCUUGAUAAGAGAAAUCACCCUAUAAGAAUGGGGGGGCACUUUCUCUCUUCCCGUGCAGUUUAUUUUCUUUUUCAAUUGUGUUUUAUUUCAUUAUGUUUUGUUUUAGGAAAGAGUAAGAAAUUGUGUUAGUUAAAUAGGCGGUGUUUAAAACUGACGUCAUUUGUAGGUAUAAGUUAGCUCUUUGGAUUUAAGGGGACCCUUUGAAGAUCAGGAAAUCUUUAAGAGAGAGCCCCUUUUUGCCCUAAGAAGUGAAAGAGAAAGACACCAUUUAUAAUGAAGGAGGAACUCCUUAAAUUGUUCCUAGGUUCAUAAUUAUGACCAACGCACUGAAAUUGAGUUUGAGAAUUUUUGCCUGCAGUGAAUGUCAUGAUGUCUUCGUUCAGAAAAAUCAACAAAAUUUCCAAUUCCUACACAACUUAAGGGUUUUUGGCUGCAGCGAAUAUCAUGAUGUCUUUGUUCAGAAAAAUCAACAAAAUUUCCAAUUGCUGCUUAAGGGUUGACUGCUGUAUACAGUUCCAGCCUGUGAACUCUUGCAUGUACAAUGGGAGUGAGAAUCACUUGUGAUGAACAUCAAUUCACAGAGGCACUAUCUCUCAUUAACUAACUGCAUUUAACUCUAAAAUAUUAUGAGUUAAGUGUUAAGAGAUAGCCUAUAUUUAUACUUGUACUUUAUUUCUCUGCUAAUGCUGCCUUGACAAAAUAGCACAGAGGCUAACGAAUAGCCUUUGGAAUCAAAUAUACUGCAGUCCACACAUUAGUACUCUUAAGUGGAGGGCAGCUGCUAAGACUCCCGUCAGUGAGCCUUAGAGAGGGAGCUUCUUCCCCAGAGUCAUGACUGAUGUAGGGACAUCCUUGCAGUGUGUCUUAAGGCAAUGCAGGGUUGCCUACCUCAAGAUGAAGAAAGUGUGUUUCAGUGAACAAAAUUCCAGACCACUUUUUUUGCCACUCAGGCUCUGUUUGUGCCUUAACUUGCUUAUGAAUAAAAAUUAGCAUUAUGUGACCUACUAACAGAGGUAUUAUGAGGAUUGCACUUAGGACAGUUUGUGUGAUGGGGUGUCUUCACUUAGCUUUUCAAUGAUAAUAAAUAUACCUGAGGGAGUGUUACAGGUCACUCCUCUUGUGCUUG
RNAcentral lists this long non-coding RNA (4502 nucleotides) under Sus scrofa (pig). Its description in RNAcentral is "lncRNA (ENSSSCG00000059516.1)". The record is from RNAcentral. Lineage: Eukaryota; Metazoa; Chordata; Mammalia; Artiodactyla; Suidae.